GGCGUGAGGUGUAGAGUCUAGGGUUUCAACUCUAGAUUUUGUGAGAAGAAAAAUACAAGAGUGAGUCUUAUUCAAUCUCUUACACCACCACCUCCUUGUAAGGGUUCAUCUUCUAAUCUGGAGGAGUUCGAGAGAUCUGAAGAAAUGACCUUGGAUCAGCCAUCUAGAGCCUUUGAUGCGAGCUAGCACUCCAGUGAAGGAAGAUCCUAUCAGGACUUUGAGUGGAUGAUCUGUAGAGGUCAGACGACCUAUGUGACUACUCAACAUCAGUGAGAGCUUCAUACUAUGCCUACCAAUAGUGAAUAUCAUCAAUCCAUGAAAAGAUGAUGAGUUCUGAACUCAACCAAUGUGAUCU
This 355-nucleotide long non-coding RNA is filed under the name Elaeis guineensis (African oil palm). RNAcentral describes it as "long non-coding RNA (EGUI_LNC082727)". The record is from RNAcentral. Lineage: Eukaryota; Viridiplantae; Streptophyta; Magnoliopsida; Arecales; Arecaceae.